RNAcentral lists this ribosomal RNA (368 nucleotides) under uncultured organism. Its description in RNAcentral is "bacterial LSU rRNA". It matches the Rfam family "Bacterial large subunit ribosomal RNA", at positions 2099 to 2465 of the family's 2925-position model. The record is from RNAcentral.
CUCGACUGUAUCCUGGAAUUGGGUUCGGGCUUUUCUUGCGCAGUCUAGGUGGGAGGCUAUGAAGAUUUCCUUCCGGGGAAGUUGGAGCCAUCAGUGAGAGACCACUCUGGAGAGGCUAGAAUCCUAAUGGUGAUCCUUGAAUCAGGACACUUGACAAUUUCAGGUUGGCAGUUUUUCUGGGGCGGAAGCCUCAUAAAGGGUAACUGAGGCGCGCAAAGGUCCCCUCAGUCUGGACGGAAAUCAGACAACGAGUGUAAAGGCAAAAGGGGGCUUGACUGCAAGACCUACAAGUCGAGCAGGAGCGAAAGCUGGCCUUAGUGAUCCGACGGUACCGCGUGGAAGGGCCGUCGCUCAACGAAUAAAAGUUA